UUCGCAAUGCCCGAAAGGGUGACGAAGCGACGCCGCGUGUGGGAAGAAGGCCUUCGGGUUGUAAACCACUGUCAGGAGUUAAGAAAUGUAAGGGUGCUAAUAGUAUCCUUACUUGACUAAGGCUCCAGAGGAAGCCACGGCUAACUCUGUGCCAGCAGCCGCGGUAAUACAGAGGUGGCAAGCGUUGUUCGGAAUUAUUGGGCGUAAAGAGCACGUAGGCGGUUCUGCAAGUCGGCUGUGAAAGCCUUCCGCUCAACGGAAGAACAGCAGUUGAUACUACAGGACUAGAGUGCGGGAGGGGAGAGUGGAACUUCUGGUGGAGCGGUGAAAUGCGUAGAUAUCAGAAGGAACGCCGGCGGCGAAAGCGACUCUCUGGCCCGUAACUGACGCUGAGUGUGCGAAAGCUAGGGGAGCAAACGGGAUUAGAUACCCCGGUAGUCCUAGCCGUAAACGAUGGGCACUAAGUAGAGGGGUUUU
This 477-nucleotide ribosomal RNA is filed under the name uncultured Planctomycetales bacterium. Its description in RNAcentral is "bacterial SSU rRNA". It matches the Rfam family "Bacterial small subunit ribosomal RNA", at positions 365 to 832 of the family's 1533-position model. Lineage: Bacteria; Pseudomonadati; Planctomycetota; Planctomycetia; Planctomycetales. The record is from RNAcentral.